Molecule: unclassified non-coding RNA, 541 nt
Filed under: Hevea brasiliensis (rubber tree)
Lineage: Eukaryota; Viridiplantae; Streptophyta; Magnoliopsida; Malpighiales; Euphorbiaceae
Source: RNAcentral
GAUUUGGAGCAUGCGAAUGACUAUCGGUAUUGGUUCUUGUAUUGGCAUUGGGUGACUAUUUGCAUGAUAUAGUUGUUUAAGCUAGAAGUUGCCUCCACCAAAAUAGCCUAAGCUAAUUUGGCUUGGCUCCCCUUUACUACAUACUCAUUUCAAUUUCCUGUUAUUUUCUGAUCUGGGACUCCAACAGGGUGUAAUUGAGCUAAUUUGUGUUAAUAAGUUCUAAGCUCGUGCUUGACUCAACUAAAAAACUCAAGGCUUUAAACACAACUUGACUGAACUUUAUUUUUCCAUACUUGAGCUUGGCUUUAUUAGAUAUUCAAGAUACUCUAGCUUGACUCAACUCAACUUGAUUAUCAUUAUAAAUUUAAAUAAAAAUUUAAUUAAUUUCAAAUUAGAACUCGCAACUUGAAUGAGCCCAAGUUUGAGCUCGAUUUGGUAUUUUAUCAUAUGUAUUUAGGGUAAAUGGUAAAUUUUGUAAUUUAUCUUUUGCAUGCAGUGACGGAUCCACCAUAAACAAUGAGGGAUUAAUUGACCCUUCUUU